Molecule: ribosomal RNA, 20 nt
Filed under: Cladosporium cladosporioides
Lineage: Eukaryota; Fungi; Ascomycota; Dothideomycetes; Cladosporiales; Cladosporiaceae
Description: partial 18S ribosomal RNA
Source: RNAcentral
UGCGGAGGGAUCAUUACAAG